Molecule: long non-coding RNA, 437 nt
Organism: Monopterus albus (swamp eel)
Lineage: Eukaryota; Metazoa; Chordata; Actinopteri; Synbranchiformes; Synbranchidae
Exons: 3
Source: RefSeq, a predicted model, not a curated record
UUACUUAAGCAUGUUGCAAUAGGUCUUAAAGCUGAAACGAAUAGUUAGCUAAAGUAUUUUUAUUUGGCAUCUAAAGUGUCUCAUCUUCCUGUUAUCCUCCUUUCUCACUGAGUACAGGAAGCACAAAAGAACAGCAUGCCCCCAAACAAGAUGGAAAGGGCAGUGUGAGUUACAUGUCAAAACUGUGCAUGCUACCACCUUCCUCACCUGCACACUACUGGCAUCACACUAUAGCCAGAGAGCUGAUAAGCAAGGCCACAGAGUGAGGAAACCAGAAGCUCAAGACACAGCGCUGUGUUGUUAAACCACCCCAACAGGCCCUGCAGCACGUGGGAGAAGGGUGGGGUGAUGUGUGCUGCUGCUACCACAGGAAACUUAUUUGAUUGUUAGUUAAACCGGCAUUGUAGCCAUCUUGGCCAGAAAAGGGUUUUCAAACC